RNAcentral lists this ribosomal RNA (253 nucleotides) under uncultured bacterium. RNAcentral describes it as "partial 16S ribosomal RNA". It matches the Rfam family "Bacterial small subunit ribosomal RNA", at positions 524 to 776 of the family's 1533-position model. The record is from RNAcentral.
UACGUAGGGGGCAAGCGUUGUCCGGAAUUAUUGGGCGUAAAGGGCUCGUAGGCGGUCUGUCGCGUCGGGAGUGAAAACUCAGGGCUUAACCCUGAGCCUGCUUCCGAUACGGGCAGACUAGAGGUAUGCAGGGGAGAACGGAAUUCCUGGUGUAGCGGUGGAAUGCGCAGAUAUCAGGAGGAACACCGGUGGCGAAGGCGGGUCUCUGGGCAGUAACUGACGCUGAGGAGCGAAAGCGUGGGGAGCGAACAGG